RNAcentral lists this ribosomal RNA (583 nucleotides) under uncultured fungus. RNAcentral describes it as "eukaryotic LSU rRNA". The stretch from base 178 to 331 matches the Rfam family "5.8S ribosomal RNA". The record is from RNAcentral. Lineage: Eukaryota; Fungi.
GAGGGAUCAUUACACAAAUAUGAAGGCGGGCUGGAACCUCUCGGGGUUACAGCCUUGCUGAAUUAUUCACCCUUGUCUUUUGCGUACUUCUUGUUUCCUUGGUGGGUUCGCCCACCACUAGGACAAACAUAAACCUUUUGUAAUUGCAAUCAGCGUCAGUAACAAAUUAAUAAUUACAACUUUCAACAACGGAUCUCUUGGUUCUGGCAUCGAUGAAGAACGCAGCGAAAUGCGAUAAGUAGUGUGAAUUGCAGAAUUCAGUGAAUCAUCGAAUCUUUGAACGCGCAUUGCGCCCUUUGGUAUUCCAAAGGGCAUGCCUGUUCGAGCGUCAUUUGUACCCUCAAGCUUUGCUUGGUGUUGGGCGUCUUGUCUCUAGCUUUGCUGGAGACUCGCCUUAAAGUAAUUGGCAGCCGGCCUACUGGUUUCGGAGCGCAGCACAAGUCGCACUCUCUAUCAGCAAAGGUCUAGCAUCCAUUAAGCCUUUUUUUCAACUUUUGACCUCGGAUCAGGUAGGGAUACCCGCUGAACUUAAGCAUAUCAAUAAGCGGAGGAAAAGAAACCAACAGGGAUUGCCCCAGUAACA